RNAcentral lists this ribosomal RNA (301 nucleotides) under uncultured bacterium. RNAcentral describes it as "partial 16S ribosomal RNA". It matches the Rfam family "Bacterial small subunit ribosomal RNA", at positions 509 to 807 of the family's 1533-position model. The record is from RNAcentral.
CAGCAGCCACGGUAAUACAGAGGGUGCGAGCGUUAAUCGGAUUUACUGGGCGUAAAGCGUGCGUAGGCGGCUUCUUAAGUCGGAUGUGAAAUCCCUGAGCUUAACUUAGGAAUUGCAUUUGAUACUGGGAAGCUAGAGUAUGGGAGAGGAUGGUAGAAUUCCAGGUGUAGCGGUGAAAUGCGUAGAGAUCUGGAGGAAUACCGAUGGCGAAGGCAGCCAUCUGGCCUAAUACUGACGCUGAGGCACGAAAGCAUGGGGAGCAAACAGGAUUAGAUACCCCUGUAGUCCCUGUCUCUUAUAC